GCCGUUUGUGCCAUGUGCGUGCCAUUUGCAUGUGCUGUGCGCGUUUGCCAUGUGCGUGUGCUGUUUGCAUGUAUGUGCCAUGCGCGUAUGUGCUGCGUGUGUGCCGUGCACGUGCUGUGCGCAUAUUUGCCGUUUGUGUGUGUGCCAUGCAUAUGCCGUUUGUGUAUGCCGCGUGUGUGCUGUGAGCGUGUAUGCUGUGCACGUGUGCGUGUGCCAUGCACUUUGUGUGUGUGCCGUGCAUGUGUGCCGUUUGCACGUGUGCCGUUUGCAUGUGCGUGUGCCAUUUGCCUAUGUGCCAUUUGCAUGUGUGCUGUUUGUGCCGUUUUGUGUGUGCCGUGCGCGUGCCAUUUGCGUGUACCAUGUGCAUGUGCCGUUUGUGUGCCAUACACGUGUGCCAUUUGCGUGUAUGCCGUGCACGUGUGCUGUGCAUGUGCGCCGUUUGCGUGCCGUGCGUGUGCUGUUUGCAUGUGUGCCGUGCGCAUGUGCCAUGUGCGUGUGCCAUUUGCGUGUGUUGUUUGCAUGUACCAUGUGCAUGUGCCAUUUGUGUGUGCCGCAUUCCUGUGCUCGUGUGCCAGGUUCGCAUGUGCGCCAUGUUCCUGCGUGCAUGUGUGCUCAGUGUGUGCCAUAUGCAUGUGCGGUGGUCCUCACAGCACCAUGGGGAAGAGGCACCAGCCAGGGCACACCUUCUGGUAUCUGCUAGGUCUGCUGGGCCCUAGCUGAAGCUGAGUACCCCCGAGUUCCCCUGGGAGGGCCUGCACCUGGAGCCUGGUGUGUCCCCAAGGGCACCCCCAAAGCAACGCAGAGGCAGAGGAGGAGUCUGGGCCCCGCACACCUGGUGCUGUUCCGGCCACCACUCAUUUGCCUGUGGCCCUUCCUCCCUUGUUUGCGUGCCCCCCCGGCAAACAAACUCCACCCCCAGCAGGAGCCACCUGUGUGCCUGCCACGCAGAAGUGGCCCAGACGGGGGUCAGCAGUGUGAGUACAGCUGGCCAUGCGGUUCCUGCAGCUUCCAGGCAUCAGACCCCG
RNAcentral lists this long non-coding RNA (1025 nucleotides) under Pongo abelii (Sumatran orangutan). Its description in RNAcentral is "lncRNA (ENSPPYG00000041419.1)". Lineage: Eukaryota; Metazoa; Chordata; Mammalia; Primates; Hominidae. The record is from RNAcentral.